This 740-nucleotide long non-coding RNA is filed under the name Rattus norvegicus (Norway rat). Its description in RNAcentral is "long non-coding RNA NONRATT030344". The record is from RNAcentral. Lineage: Eukaryota; Metazoa; Chordata; Mammalia; Rodentia; Muridae.
UGUCCUGGCUUCUAUUGCUGACAAGUGUUGCCUGUGCCCGGGACUCGCUGCCUGACCUUACCUGCCCUUGAGGGUUGGAGGUGAGGUGGCGCAGACUCAACACACAGACUCCGAGAGCAGACUUCUCCUGAGAAGUCUGCUAUAACACUCUCACAGGCACCAGGGACUCAAUUAUUGAAGUUCUGCACGAAGCUGUCAUCUUUCUGCGUCAAGCACCCUGCUCUUUCUGGAAGUCUCACAACUUGGAAUGCUGUUCUCUCGUGAAGAACACAGCGUGAGGAGCGCCCACUGCACCUACGCUGCCUUGGACUUGGGAAAUUAAGAUCUAGCUCUGUGGUUCUCAACCUCCCUGGUGCUGCAACCCUUUAAUACAGCUCCUCACGUGUGGUUCCCCUCCCCAACCAUAAAAUCAUAUUGCUGCUACUUCAUAACUGUAGUUCUGCUACUGUUAGGAAUUGUAAUGUAAAUACCUGAGAUGCAACCAUCCACAGAGCGGAGACCCACAGGUUGCACAGUGUGGGUGUAGAUGAAAGCAGAGUUUCGGGGUCAAGUCAUAACAUUCGAGUUGAGUGUCACCGGCACCUGCUAAGAAGUUAUUUAUAGCUAAUCUUUUUGGACCCUUCUGUGUUAAAGAAGAAACAUUACCAUCUACUCUUGUGGAGUUGUGGAGAGAACUAAAUUUCAUAAUGGUAGUUUUCAAGGCACGUUACUCUGAUAUGUGCAACACUGGCACAUUAUUU